Molecule: long non-coding RNA, 679 nt
Filed under: Capra hircus (goat)
Lineage: Eukaryota; Metazoa; Chordata; Mammalia; Artiodactyla; Bovidae
Description: lncRNA (ENSCHIG00000000647.1)
Source: RNAcentral
UAGGCAGGGAGAAGAGAAGAGAGGCCUGGACAGAACCAGAAUAACUUCAAACAAGAUAAGAAGGAGACAGAAAACCAGACCACCAAAGAGGAAAUAGGAAGAAAGCAGGGUGGGGAAUGUGAAGGAGUUCAGGAAGAGUCCAGAGUCCAGAGUCCUAGUGCUGCCUGCCCGUCAUGAGAAGAUGCUCAGUCCAUCAAAGUCUUCCAUUCAAACUGUCUUCUUUGCGUCAUUCCAGUUGGAGUCUGUGCUUAAAAUACAGGCAUCUGUUACUGGUUGGGCUCCCAGGUGGCUCGUAUGGUAAAGAAUCUGCCUGCAAUGAAGGACCUGGGUUCGAUUCCUGGAUUGGGAAGAUCCCCUGAAGAAGGGCAUGGCAACCCACUCCAGUAUUCUUGCCUGGAGAAUUCCAUGGACAGAGGAGCAUGGUGGGCUACAGUCCAUGGGGUUACAAAGAGUCAGACAUGUCGGACCGACUAAUACUAGUGUUAUUGGUUGGAUGAAAGUUAUAUGGUAGAUGGUAAAAUUAAUCAAUAGGUACUCUUUAAAAUGUUACUCUCUUGGCACUGCAGCCCCAUGUGUCUUAAAAUUCUCAAGGGAUUCUAGCUGGGACCAUAGCUAUGACCUUACAAUCUUUUUCUUGAAACAAACUGAAUUUAAGCACUGAAUGGAAUUUAAAUGGAAA